AGUUUGUUAUAACUACUUCUUAACAAACCUCCUAUUACAUUCCACCCUCCUUAAAACAAAACUUCCAUACAAGUUUUGAUCAAUCAAUUCAAUCAUUACAAACAGAUUGCUUAUCUAAGAAUGUUCAAUGAUUUACAAAAUUCUUAAGGAAUUACAAAAGAGGGGAACCGUUUUUCAAAUUCUUCUACAAACUCCCAUGUAGCUUCUUCUGUAGACAUUCCUUCCCACUGGACAAGUGUAACACCUCGAUUUUUGAAACAGUUUAUUAUCUAUUUUAUUAACUAUAUUAUAUAUUUUAGUUUAUUUAAUAAUUAAAUUCAUUUAUCUUUAGCAAUUAUUUUAUAAAUAAUUUAUUAUAUGCUUAUAGUGGGACAAGUUUAGUAAGUAAUUAAACUAGUAAUAGUAUUAAGAGGAAAUUUAUUCACAUGUAUGUAAGAAGGGGGAAAAGGGAAAAAAAUAAAACAAGAAAAGAAAACGGAAAGAAAAAAAAAACAAAACAACAGAAGAACGACAUUUCAUAACGCUUCACCACCGUUUAACCUCUUCAUCAUCUCCACCCUCUUCACCAUCUUCUUCUCUCAAAAUCUUUUACAUUCUUCCUUCAUCACAACCACCAUCGUUGCCGACGACACAACCACAGCCACUAGAGGUGACACCAUAGAAGUAGGCGGCGCAAGGAAGAAAAGUGGGGUCAUUGUUGCUGUAAUUUGGAGCAUUUGGUGCUCGAAUUAGGGGCGUUUGCAAGUUAUUUCUCAUCCCCAAUCAUCUAUAUUAGUGGAUUCCGGUUUCAUUGAGGAGCCGUAUUGACUGAGCUAGUUGGUUUGAUAUAGUUUAAAAGGUACAUGAAGGCUUAGAGUCGGGGUAUGGGCGGAGAGCAACGUCCACUAGUUUUGCGUAAAUAUAAUUAUAAUAGUUCUGUUCUGGUGCAUUUCUUAUAUAUAAUCAAUAUUUUGAGACUUAGGGUUGUAAAUAUUAAUCCACCUAAAUCUUUAUUCGGUUGGGUUGUAAUAGUUUAAAAUAAGCUUUAAUUUAGUUUUGGUGCAGGUAGUUCUUCCUUAGCGAUUAUUCUCGUAAUAAUCGUGGAAUAACACGUUUGGAUUUCGAGUAGUUA
This is a long non-coding RNA of Beta vulgaris subsp. vulgaris (sugar beet), 1111 nucleotides long. RefSeq lists it as uncharacterized. NCBI's taxonomy places the organism in Eukaryota, Viridiplantae, Streptophyta, Magnoliopsida, Caryophyllales, Amaranthaceae. The record is from RefSeq and is a predicted model, not a curated record. The transcript has 3 exons.